Molecule: ribosomal RNA, 828 nt
Filed under: Triticum aestivum (bread wheat)
Lineage: Eukaryota; Viridiplantae; Streptophyta; Magnoliopsida; Poales; Poaceae
Description: partial small subunit ribosomal RNA
Source: RNAcentral
AUGCCGCUGGACAACGACGAUCUCCUCCGUGAGAUCCUCCUCCUCCUGCCUCCGGAGCCGUCCUCCCUGCUCCGGGCCUCCGUUGUGUGCAAGCGCUGGCGCCGCUUAGUCUCCGAUCGCGGCUUCCUCCGGCGCUUCCGCGCGCACCACGGGAAGCCCCCGGUCCUCGGCUUCUUCUGCGUCAAUGCUGGUACCGGUUAUUACUUCAGUCCCACGCUGGAUCCGCCCGACCGCAUCCCUGCCGCGCGAUUCUCCCUGCCGCAGCGCCACAGGGAGAGCUUAGACUUCGUGGAGUGCCGCCACGGCCUCGUCCUUUUCCUCGACAAGAAACUGUCCGAGGCCGUCGUGUGGAACCCCAUCUCCGGUCGCCAGCGCCGAGUGGCCAUUCCACCAGAGUUUGGCAACCCUGAAAAGUGGGGCAUCAUAUACGCUGUGGUGCUCUGCGCAGCCGGCGAUGACGACCAUGGCCAUGGGCAUGGUGACUGCGACCUGGACUAUUUUAAAUUGGUCGUGGUGCGCAUGGGCGUAAAAGACUACAGGCAUGUAUCGGCUUGCCUCUACGAAUCCAAGUCUGGUGUGUGGGGAAAUGUUGUCUCAACAACGACCACAGGAGCGUUCAUUUUUCCGGCAAAACCCAGCGUCCUUGUCGGGAAUGCACUUUGCUGGUUGCUUAAUAGAAAAACUGAAGGUGACAUCCUUGAGUUUGAUUUUGAAGUACAGAAGCUUGUUGUAACUGAGAGGCCACUGGACUGCGAGAUUGCCAACCGUGGCCUUCCCUUCCUCCGAAUCAUGCGGACUGCGGUUAUGGGAGCGGAAGGUCAAUUAUGA